UUAAGUGUUGCUAAUGGAGACAGUCUGAUGCUUGAUUUUCUUGUAAUUCUGAAGUAGUACAGUGAAGCACAAAAGUUUCGCUUGUUUAUAUCAAGGAAGUAGAAAAUUUAGUAGUACACUAGUACGGUUGAUAUGAUCCUACCGAUAACAACUAGGCAGAAUAAUUCAAGCACUUAAUAACAACCGAACUAUAGCUCGUCCUUACAUAUGAUCCUGAGCAUAUGUGUUUAGUUUGCCAUAAUUUUUACUAGACCUGUAAAUUUUUGGCAGGCACUUGUAUUACAACUGAUGUGCAGACCAGCUACGCAGCACGGAUCAUGGGGCUAUCUGUUAUCCCCUUUGUCAUUGCUCAGUUCCCCAAGAUGUUGAAGACCCACCAUGGGCAGCGCCUGGCUGUCUUGUUGGCCCUUAUCGUGUCGUUCUUGCUUGUGCUUUCCUACUGCGUGUAUCAGGUAAACGAAUCAGAAAUACGUUUAAGCACUUCAGCCUCAUGAAAUGAUUACAAGAUUGAAAGAUCUGGACCACGAGAAUCAUGUUUGACAGUACUGAAUACUCCAUCUUGCAUCAGGUUUUCCAGCCAUGGAUUCAAAGGAGGAAGCUUGCGUACGCCAAGCACAAACAUGUGAUC
Molecule: long non-coding RNA, 628 nt
Filed under: Setaria italica (foxtail millet)
Lineage: Eukaryota; Viridiplantae; Streptophyta; Magnoliopsida; Poales; Poaceae
Description: long non-coding RNA (SITA_LNC003621)
Source: RNAcentral